ACCAACCUUCUUACUCAAAAGUACCACUUACUCUGUUCUUUUAGCUCAACUGUUUAGCUUUUCGCUUGAUCAGUUCUAGUAAACCUUCAAUUUAUCUGCAACAAAAGUAACUAUAUUUCUGUUACCAUUCUCUAACCUCUGCAAAACGCAGUGCUUAAUCUCAUAAGAGAGUACAAUUGAGGUUCUUGCCACCUAAUCCAUUCACCA
This 207-nucleotide unclassified non-coding RNA is filed under the name Hevea brasiliensis (rubber tree). The record is from RNAcentral. Lineage: Eukaryota; Viridiplantae; Streptophyta; Magnoliopsida; Malpighiales; Euphorbiaceae.